UACGAAGGGGGCUAGCGUUGUUCGGAAUUACUGGGCGUAAAGCGCGUGUAGGCCGACCGAUAAGUCGGGGGUGAAAUCCCAGAGCUCAACUCUGGAACUGCCUCCGAGACUGCUGGUCUGGACCCAAGGAGAGGCAAGUGGAAUUGCGAGUGUAGAGGUGAAAUUCGUAGAUAUUCGCAGGAACACCAGUGGCGAAGGCGACUUGCUGGACUUGUGGUGACGCUGAGACGCGAAAGCGUGGGGAGCAAACAGG
Molecule: ribosomal RNA, 253 nt
Filed under: uncultured bacterium
Lineage: Bacteria
Description: partial 16S ribosomal RNA
Rfam family: Bacterial small subunit ribosomal RNA
Source: RNAcentral